Lycium barbarum (goji berry) is the source of this 726-nucleotide long non-coding RNA. RefSeq lists it as uncharacterized. NCBI's taxonomy places the organism in Eukaryota, Viridiplantae, Streptophyta, Magnoliopsida, Solanales, Solanaceae. The transcript is spliced from 3 exons. The record is from RefSeq and is a predicted model, not a curated record.
ACGAAAUAAAAACAUAACAGACAUGUGAAGGUUUCUCUUGGUUUAGUUAUUAUGAAAGAGUUUACUUGAAAUGGAAAAAAAACAAAUCUUGUCUCUUUCGUUGAUAUAGCAGCAAUACGACUUUAAAUGGUUAGUGCAUCAACGCUACUUUCAGUUAUAGAAGAAGCAACACGGCUUGGCAUUGUACAGAAGAAAAGUGUAAUUUUCUCAAGAAAAAUAUUGGGGUGUUGCUCACUAUUUUUAUCUCAUCGUUCCGUUUUAUCGUGUUGUUGAAUUUGGAAUUUAUUCAAGGUGAAGUAAUGUGGAAGAAGAGUAUUUCUUGGCAUAUAAGAUCUUGGGAAGCCCGAUACUUAGGUUUGGAUUAGCUUAAGAAGCGGACAAGGUACAGAUAGUCGGUUUGGUGACCCUUCAGCAUAGGACUUCUACUCAGCUGUCUUGGAGAGAUACAUUGUUCCGCAGCCUAGACUUUUGGUACAGAUCUUAUGAUGUAUAUAUAUAUAUAUAUGUUUAUCCAGGGGUAUGGCGGGGCCCUGUCCCAUCAUAUUUCGCUAUCGAUACUCUCAGAGGUCUGUAGACAUAUGUGUGGGUUGUGUAUAAGUUUAUUCAGCUGUGUCUAUACGAUGUGCUAUGGUAUUGAUCUGUAAUGGCAACCUUGUCGGCUUGCUUAUGGUAUUGAUAUGUUGUGGCAGCCUUGUCGGCUUGUGUAUGAUAUGACAUGUAGUGGCA